GACGAACGCUGGCGGCGUGCUUAACACAUGCAAGUCGAACGGAAAGGCCCUGCUUUUGUGGGGUGCUCGAGUGGCGAACGGGUGAGUAACACGUGAGUAACCUGCCCUUGACUUUGGGAUAACUUCAGGAAACUGGGGCUAAUACCGGAUAGGAGCUCCUGCUGCAUGGUGGGGGUUGGAAAGUUUCGGCGGUUGGGGAUGGACUCGCGGCUUAUCAGCUUGUUGGUGGGGUAGUGGCUUACCAAGGCUUUGACGGGUAGCCGGCCUGAGAGGGUGACCGGCCACAUGGGAACUGAGAUCCGGCCCAGACUCUUACGGGAGGCAGAAGUGGGGAAUAUUGAACAAUGGGCGGAAGCCGGAGGAAGAAACGCCGCGUGCGGGAUGACGGCCUUCGGGUUGUAAACCGCUUUCGCCUGUGACGAAGCGUGAGUGACGGUAAUGGGUAAAGAAGCACCGGCUAACUACGU
This 467-nucleotide ribosomal RNA is filed under the name uncultured bacterium. RNAcentral's name for it is "partial 16S ribosomal RNA". It matches the Rfam family "Bacterial small subunit ribosomal RNA", at positions 28 to 506 of the family's 1533-position model. The record is from RNAcentral.